UACGGAGGGUGCGAGCGUUGUCCGGAAUUAUUGGGCGUAAAGAGCUCGUAGGCGGUUUGUCGCGUCGGCCGUGAAAUCUCCACGCUUAACGUGGAGCGUGCGGUCGAUACGGGCAGACUUGAGUUCGGUAGGGGAGACUGGAAUUCCUGGUGUAGCGGUGAAAUGCGCAGAUAUCAGGAGGAACACCGGUGGCGAAGGCGGGUCUCUGGGCCGAUACUGACGCUGAGGAGCGAAAGCGUGGGGAGCGAACAGG
RNAcentral lists this ribosomal RNA (253 nucleotides) under uncultured bacterium. RNAcentral's name for it is "partial 16S ribosomal RNA". It matches the Rfam family "Bacterial small subunit ribosomal RNA", at positions 524 to 776 of the family's 1533-position model. The record is from RNAcentral.